This 12598-nucleotide long non-coding RNA is filed under the name Lynx pardinus (Iberian lynx). Lineage: Eukaryota; Metazoa; Chordata; Mammalia; Carnivora; Felidae. The record is from RNAcentral.
UCCGUGACCAAGCCGUCAGGUUACCAGGCGCCACCUCCCUCCUGAGUUUUAUCUCCGACGCGGCUGUGUUUCUCGACCCCUCCCUUCAGAGGGACUGGGGCGUGGACCCGCUCUGAUCCUCUGCAGGAGGGUCUCCCCUAGCAAAGGCCAGUGCCACCGCACCCAGGAAUGUUCACGUGACCACUGCUGCUGCUGACGCCCAGAGACCACGGCUGAGUUCCAGCCUGCCCCAGGAAAGUUCACGCGAUCGAUCGUGUAGCAGGGGUAUUUCAGGGAUCAUGGAAAAUCCCAACAUGCAUCUGGCCGCAGUCUUUGCCCUUAACGACCUUGUUCCACCACCAGCAAAUGUGGUUGUUCUUUGUGGUCUGCUGGGACCGGGUGGCCACACAGCCUCGACCAGAUGUCCUCCCAGCAGGGGAACCGCCUCUUCUCGUGUGGCCCGAGGAUAACUGGCCUUCACUGUCUCCUGGGGAUCUGCCCUUCCCACCGGAACACCGCCAGGUAAUGAGCUGCGGAGUUUCAGACUCUGCCCUCCCCUGUUUCUAGAGUCUUAAUGGAAUUUCAACCCUCUCCUUUCUCCUUUCUCCCUUUUAGCUCAGUCCCUGUGGCUGUUUCCACUUUUCCACUUUGUCUCCAGCUGCUUUGGGUGGGGUGCUUUUCCUGAACUCUACCCCUCCCCCCUCCCGCCCCCCCUCACCCGCCCUGUCUCCAUCCUCUCUCCACAAGCAAAAGCAACUCCUUGCCCUCCGGGGCUUCUCUCUCCCCCAGUUCACCUCUCCGCGCUGAGUGCCUGCUGAGUUCUGUGGUUCAGGUUGUGCAGGUUGUCGUGUUAAUCCUCAAAUCAGUGUUUUAGGUGUGCAGGAUGGCUUAGUGUUGGUCUGGUUGUAUUUCAUGGAUGCGAGACGCAAUAAAAACUUCCAUCCUGUUCCACCAUCUUGGCUCUUCUACACUAGUUGUGUUUUAAGCGUUUUAUUAUGUAUUAUUUUAAGCAUAAAUAGACAUUGGCAGGAUAGAAUAAGUCAGGGGUCCACAAACGCUUUCUGUUAAGGGGCAGAGAGAAUAUAUUUCAGUCUUCACCAGCCAGAUUGUCUCUGUUGCAGCAACUCAACUCAACCACAAUCAGCCGAGAAAAUGUGCAAACAAAUGGGCAUGGCUGUUUUCCAAUAAAACUUAAUUUACAGAAGCAGGCUGUGGGCUAGAUUUGGCCCUUGGGCCAGAGUUUGCUGACUUGUGAUAUAAAUGAAGACCCACCAGCAGCCCCAACAGCCAUCAACCCACAGCCAGUUCUGUCUGAUUAACUGCCCCCACACAUUACUUGGAAGAAAAUCCCAGACAUCAAAUCAUUUCAUCCUCAGUACUUCCAAAGACACUUCUAGAAGAUAAGGACUCACCUGUUAACAUUGUACCUAAAAGGUCAAAAGUAACAUCACAGUAUUCUCAGAAUUCAGUCAGCAUUCAAAUUUCUAUUUGUCUAAUAAAUGGAAUACAUCUUCACAGACGUUUUCUGAUCCGAUAGAAUUAACUAAGAUCCACACAAUGCAUUUAAGUUUCUUUUAUGUUUUUUUACAUUGAUUCUAUUUGUAUGUCUUUUAGCCCCAAGUUGGAUUUUCCGGGGGAAAAAACAAAAGUAAGUCUAACAUGUAAUGCAAGUCACCCUGUGCCCCCUCUAAAAUAAUUUUUAUUGCGAUCUGAGGAAAUGCCACCACGUGGACAGUAAUGCCAAAACUGUAGAAUCAAGAUUUGAACAGCCAGUCAUCUGGUCGUGAUCAAUUCAACAAAUCAAGUAUCCUUGCACAAAGUUGUCAAUCACUUCCUUCCAAGGUUUCGGGCAUUUGAAAAGGAAAAAUUCAUCACCUGGCCCAGUUGCCUCAUUCCUAGGAAUUGAUCCUGAUGAAAUGUUCAGAGAUACAGUCAGAGAUGCUUGACGAAGGGUCUCAUGGCUGCAUUAUUUGUAACAGUGCAAUAGUAACAACCACCAAAACGUCCAGCAAUAAGGAAAUGAUAGCAUUCAUUACAAUGCUGGCUCGUUAACUGGUUCGUUAAAUACAACACUGGUCAAAUAUUAUAUAAUGAUUAACACUCACAGCUUUUAAUGUUCCAGUUGUGGGUCAAGGUUCUGGACAAAAUUUUAAAUGACAGGAAGCAAAACCCAAAACUGCGUAUACCUAAAAUCACAUCAUUAUCUCGAUGGAAAGCCACAAAACGUUGCAUCACUACCUCUAAAAAUGGGGUUGUGUGGCUUCAACUUAAAUAUUUACUCUUUGGGGGGCACCUUGUGGCUCAGUUGGUUAAACAUCCAACUCUUGUUUUUGGCUCAGGUCAUGAUCUCUCAGUUCAUGAGUUUGAGCCCCACACUGGCCUUGCUGCUGUCAGUGCGGAGCCCUCUUUGGAUCCUCAGUCCGCCGCCCCUCCCGCACUCAGGCUCCCUCAAAAAUAAACAAUUUUUAAAAAUUAAAUAUAUUUACGCUUUUGUGAAAUUUCCAAAUUUUCUUUAACGUGCAUGCUUUACUUUUAAAUCAGAACAACAAAAAUACCAUUCGUUUUAUAAAAAUUUCCAGGUCUCCCCUUGCAGGCCUCCUCUCAUAUGUCUGUCUGUUCUUGGCUUUUCUAGCUCUUCCCCUCUCUCUUCUGACUCUGUCUUGUCAAUUUAACAGGCAUUCCAUCAGCCCAGUCAUUUUGCUCAGGACCCAAAAGACUGCCAUUCCCAGCCCUGCAGGACAGCAGCACUGGGCCUUCAUAAACCCAAAUGGAAUGGGAGGUAAGAACAAUGACUCAACAUUUCAUCCCAUCUGCAGAUAUGGGCGGACGCUGGGCCCCCAUUUCGUGCCAUCUGCUGUCCUUCCUUGGAGCAUAACACUCCGUAAGUGAAAACUACAACACGGGCUUGCUGGUGAUCAUGUGGGAAAACCAGAAACAAUGGGGAAGUCCAGAAGUGGGUGGGGGCUACAUAAAAUGGCAGCCAGUAAGAAGCCAGCCGUCAGGAACCCUGUUGUGGAACAUGCUGAACAGCAAGGAAGGGACCUCACUUAUGGUGGUGGCUUCAUGACCUUCUGCGUUCAUCCCCUGUAUCUGUCCCCAUCUCGUCCUUCGUUCCUUCAUUCUCUCUACUCGCCCUGGUGGGCUUGCUCACAGUUCCUAGGACAAGCCAGGUGCACUGUGGACUCUGAGUUUUGUGCUGGCUGUUCCUUCCGUGUGGACUGCUCUUCACCCUCACCUUCUCCAGAGCUUUUCUCAGAAAUCACAUUGCUCAAGAGACGUUCCAUCCAAGAUGUCAACUUAUCCCCAAUACACCCUCCCACACACAUACCUUCCUCACAUCCCUCUUCCUGACUUUAUGUUUUCUUUCUAAUGAUCAUUAUUUAACAGGUAACAUGCAUUAGUUAUUUGUUUGUCACCCACCUUCCCCCACCCCACUUAGAAAGCGAGAUGCUUGAGGACAAGGAUUUUUGCCAUUUCUGUAUACCCCGUGCCCAGGACAGAACCAGGAAUUCUCAAGGGUGAAGUAAUGGGUGAAUGAGUGACUUCACUUUCUCUCAUUAUCUAUCUGUAUUUCUUUCUUUUUUUAAUUUUUAAAUAGAUUUUUAAAAAAUUUUUAAUAUAAUUUAUUGUCAAGUUGGCUAACAUGCAGUAUACACAGUGUGCUCUUGGUUUCUGGGUAGAUUCUGGUGAUUCAUCGCUUCCAUACAACACCCAGUGCUUAUCCCAACAAGUGCCCUCCUCAAUGCCCAUCCCCCAUUUUCCCCUCUCCCCCGCCCUCACUCCCAUCCACCCUCAGUUCUCUGUAUUUAAGAGUCUCAAAAAAUUAAAAAUUUAAAAAUAAAAACUAAAGGAGAGAAAAAAAGUCUCUUAUGGGUUUGCCUCCCUCUCCAUUUGAAACUAUUUUUUCCCCUUCCCGUCCCCCAUGGUCUUUUGUAAAUCUCCUACGAUGAACAAACUGCUCUCAUAGCCAAGUGCCUGGUGACUUGUUUCUCAAGAUGCUGUGGUAGGACAGUCAUAGGCAGUUAUUCUGGCCAGGCAGUCCCAGGAUCAUUCUUAGAGAAGAUUCCCUGAACUCCUAGGUGGACAGGUUUCAGGUUCAGGGGUACCCUCUAUCCUGUAGGGAGGAGUAAUGAGACCCCUGUGGCCAGGCAAGUGCUGCCCCUUCUAAUCCCCUCAACCCUGAAGCUGGGGAGAUUGUGGGCAAAAUUCUCAAGGGGACCAUGGGUGUUUGGGGAAGAGAAGGAUGAACAGUGACCACCUCCUGUAAUGAUGAGGAUGAAUCCUACCAGAAUCUCCAGAGUGCACUCAGAUUGUGAAACAGAUACCACAAGCAGCAAACGGGAUGCUCACCCUAAGGGCCUCUGAACCAGGGCCUCAACACCGCCCCCUGGAGGUAGGCGGUGAAAGACCGGUGUGAGCCCAACCCUGGAAGUGAUCCCUGAGCUGAGGAAAGACUGGAGGGGUGAGGCGGUGGGAGCCCAUGCUCCAGGUCCAGCGGGACCCCCAGCAGUGACCAAAAAUGCACCAAGCUGGGUGGGCUAGCUCCCAAAUCACUAAUUCUCCCUUUACCUGUAUUUGGAAACCCACAUAGCCCCUUUUGAGCCAAGGAUCCUCCCCCUGGAGUUCAUGAAGAAUCUGGCGAAAGGUUGCAGGUCUCAAGAGGGAAGAUCCUGGACCUGUUGUUAAUCUGAGUAUAAGGAGUGGUUAAUUUAAAAAAAUCAAUUUUGGGGGCACCUGGGUGGCUCAGUCAGUUAAGUGUCCGACUUCGGGUCAGGUCAUGAUCUCAGAGUUUGUGGGUUGGAGCCCCAGGUCCAGCUCUGCACUGACAGCACAGAGCCUGCUUGGGAUUCUCUUUCUCCUUCUCCCUCUGCCCCUCCCCCUGCUCUCUCUCUCUCUCUCCAUAAAUAAUCUUUAAAAAUAAAGAAAUAAAAUAAUACAUUUUAAUUACAAUUAAAUUGAAAAUUAAUACAUUUUUUAAUGUUUAUUUUUUACAGAGAGAGAGAGACAGAGACAGAGCAUGAGCGGGGGAGGGGCAGAGAGAGAGAGGGAGACAGAAUCUGAAGCAGGCUCCAGGCUCUAAGCUGGCAGCACAGAGCCCGAUGUGGGGCUCGAACUCACAGACCGCGAGAUCACGACCCCAGCCGAAGUCAGACGCUCAACUGACUGAGCCACCCAGGCGCCCCAAACUUAAUACAUUUUAAAAAGUGUAAUUAAGUAACAAUUUUAAUUGACAAUUAAAAGAGGGGUUAUACCUUGCUCUCACCUGGGGAAGUAACUUGUUCUGUUCAUACCUUUUAAAUAAAUUAAUUAAUGACAUAUCUAGGAGGCAAAUAAAUAAUAUAUAAAUAUCAUAUAGAGUAGAUAAAUAAAUGAGUAGGUGAGAAGACAAAGAAGCAGACAAAGGAAAUAAGUAGAUUGUUUUAAGAGAGAGAGAAAGCGAGAAACACGCCCUGUAGUCUCAGCAACGUCACAGGCAGGCUCUUGAUUAAUUCGCGUUCAGCUUUCCAGAAGACUGUGCUUGAGUUCACAUCAUGAAGGAAUGGGUUUGUGUCCGUCCUGUGGUGAGGAGACAGAGGUCUCUUUCAGAGUCUCAGCAUCUACAUCAGCAUCCUUAACCAUCCUCCUUCCAAGGAGAUUUAUUAUCCUCCUAGUUAUUCUAUUAGUCACUCUGCUAUUAGGAGAGCAGGAACUGUUGCAUUUUUAUGUUGCCUGAUCAUAUCUUCCAGUUGGAAAACAUGGUUAAAGAACAACAGCCCAAGAGCCGGGAACCCCACCACCGGGUGGUUCUCUUUCCUGCGGUGCUCACAGGAGGCCAGCAUUUCUGAAUGUGGCUAUGUUGAAUGCCUUAAAGAUAACUUGGGGUAUCAUUUUCUGCAAGGAUUUUAAUUGUAGUCCCAAAGCUGGUAGAUGGAAGCAUUGAGCAUAUGUUUGUGGCCUAUUUAAUGAAGCCAGCACAGGGCUAUGUGUAAAUGCUUAUGCCAAAACAGAGUUGAAAUGGGGCACUUUGGAAGAAAAUGGUGCAAAGGGAAAGGGUAUAUUAGUCAUGGUUCUCUAGAGAAACAGAACCAAGAGACGGUGAUUGAUACAUACAUACAUACAUACAUACAUACAUACAUACAUACAGUGAUGAUAGAUAGACAGGAUGGUAGGUGGAUGGAUGGAUGGAUGGAUACAGAUAAAUAGGUCUGUUAGAAGGAAUGGUCUCAUGUGGUUAGAGAGGCUAACAAGUCUACCUUUGGCGGGCUGGAAAACCAGGAGAGCUGAAGGUAUAAGAUCCGGUCCAAAAACUACCAGGCUCAGGACCCAAGAAGAGCCAGUGUUUCAGUGCAAUGGUCAGAGCAGGAAACAACCAAUAUUCCAGCUUAAAGGCAGUCCGGCGGGAGGAGUUGCUUUUUACUCAGGGGUGAGUCAGACCUGUUGCUCUAUUCAGGCCUCCAACUGUUUGGAUGAGGCCCAUCCACAUUAGGGAGGGCACCAUGCUCUACUGUCUACUGAUUUAAAUGUUAAUGUUUAAUGUUACUGAUUUAAAUGUAAUGGUUUAAAUGUUAAUCUCAUUAAAAAAAAAUACCCUCAGAGGGGCGCCUGGGUGGCUCGGUUGGUUAAGUGUCAACUUUGGCUCAGAUCAGGAUCUCACAGUUUGGGAGUUCGAGCCCGGCAUCGGGCUCUGUGUUGCCAGCUCAGAGCCUGGAGCCUGCUUCAGAUUCUGCGUCUCACUCUCUCUCUGCCCCUCCGUAUCUGUCUCUGUAUCUGUCUCUGUCUCUCUCUCUCUUUGUCUCUCUCUCAAAAAUAAAUAAACAUUAAAUAAUAAAUUAAAAAAAAAACAAAAAACACCCUCAGAGACACACCGAGAAUGAUGUUUGACCAGUCAUCUGGGAAGUGUAUGGCCCUGUCAUGUUGACACAUAAAAUGAACUAUCAAAGGGCAUUUAGUGGAGUUACACUGGUUUUCCACAGUGGAAUGGGGGGUGACACCCAUUAUCUGAAUUCAUGGGGGAAAAUGUUCAGUUUAGUACCCAACUGGGAAAUUACUCUUCCCAUCAAUUGGAUAAAUGUUAAUUAGCUAUAAAUGCAAGGCACAUAAAAAGAUGGUCAACAUCCUUAGUCAUCAUCCACUAGAAGGACUAAAAUUAAAGGGACUGACCACACUAAGAGCUGGUGAGGAUUCCAAGCAACUGGAUCUUGUGGCUAUGCAAAAUGGGAUAGUCACUCUGGAAAACAGCUUGGCAAUUCCUGUAAAUGUUCACUUACUUUAUGAUUCAACAAUUCCACUCCUAUUUCCACGAAAGUAAAUGAAACCAUAUGUCUGCAAAAAGUCUUGUAAAAGAACGUUAAUUGCAGCUUUGUUCAUAAGAGUUGAAAACUGGAAAUAGCCCACUUGUUCAUCGAUACAAGAAUGGAUAAACAAACCACAGGAUAUUCAUACAAUAGAACACUGCUGACUAAUAAAAGAGAAGGAAUUCUAAUCCAGGAAACAACAAAGACAGAUCUCACAGACAUAAGUAAGACUGAGCAAAAGAAGUUCAAGAAUAUAGUAAACUAAUCUGCAAAGAUAGAAAGCAGAAUGUCAGUUGCCUUUGAAGGGAAGGGAGAUUGACCAGAAAUGGGUACCAGGGAUCUUUGUGGGGUGAUGACAGUGCUCUAUAUCUUGAUAGGGGGUUGGAUGAUACAGCUGUAAACAUUUACCACACUCAUGAAAUUACCCUUAAAAAGUUGUGCAUUUUACUCUCUAGCCUUAUGAGAGUAAUUAAACAUUUUGCCAAUAAAAAUUUGCAGAAAAGCAAGUCCCAAAAUAGGCAUGAGACUAAGAGCUGUAGAGGUGAACAAAACAAAAACCUGUAAACUUUCGUGGGCAAAGACAGUAGGCACUUCGCAAAAUGAAUUGGACGGAAGCCAGGCCUCUGGAAACACAACGGGCAAAGUCCUUGUCAUUAAAAUCAGAACUCUGACAAACCAUUAAUUCAGAGACUAAGAAUGAAGGUCCAGAAACAAAGAAUCCCCUAGCACCACCCCAGUACAGAUCCGGAAGCCCAAGAACAGUGACAGAAGCACAAAUGAGAUCAGCAGAACAUGUUAGACCCAAGGAGAGCAAACUCCAACCCAACUAAAGUGAACUGUAUUCUCGUAGCUAUGUCGGACUGUUUGGUAAUCCCUCUGUACCUUCUUUCAUGAUUAGUGUAAAUAUUUGACUUGAACUAAUUCUACAGCAAACUAUCAAGUUCUCAUUCCGUCGGGUAGAUUCAUUCUUUCUCAGCUAAUUUUGAAGUUGUCUUCAUUAAGUCCUGAGUGAAACAGAAAUAAAAGCUAAUAAUCACUGAGGACUUGUUAGGUGCCAGACACUUUGCUAAGUACUCAACAUGCAUUAAUUCAUGGAAUCUUGCUCACCCAAGAAGUAGAUACUGACAAUAGAAUUCCUACUUUACACAUGAAGAAACCGAGGUUCAAUGGGUAAAAAGUUGCCUAAAGUUCCUGAGCUAGGAUGGGAGAGGCAAGAUUCAAACCCAGGCUGUUGGACCUCAGAGACUACUGAGAAUUUUGCUCUAUUGCCCCCUUCUAGGAAUUUUUCAAAGCGCAUGGAUGCUGCCCAACUGUUUUGGAAUCAGAGACUCUUAGAAUCCUGUACACUGCCUAUGAAUGUCUGAGAAACCUACAGAAAGAAGUUGUGGCCAGCCAGUGCCAAGAAAGCUGUCCAUACUACCCGAAGGUCCGUCCAUGCAUUCGUUGGUCCACAAAUAUUUAAGAGCCUACUGUGUGCUAGGCCUUGCUUGCCACUAGAAAAAGAACUGAGAGCCAAAAGCUAUUCUACUACCCUUGGCAACAUCCUUCUCCAAAAUGCUCUCCCAGGCAACCAAGCAGGAAACUGCACCCUGAUGGCCAUUCCCCCUUUGAGAAGUCUAGAACCUCAAAUGUAGAGUCAGCAUAGCAUCCACUGAAAAUGUGCAAAAUGGCAGCCACAGGCAAUCUGGUAUAAGGUAUCUCCUACCUGCUCAAGAAGCUGUCUCUGCUUUCUGAACAGUUUUAUCAGGCCCUAUGAUUAUUUUGUAAUGUAGAUAUUGAUCAUUAAUCAAUGUUGCCUAAGCAACACACUUAGAAUAAUACAUCAAGACCAGCCUCUUCAACAACAAAGCUCUGGGAAAUUGCUGGCAUAUUAGCAUUGACUGAUUGCUGAGACAUUGCUCUCCUGGGCUGAAGGGGGGUGCAGGAUGGGUGACAGCAGGAUGCACAAACAGGUACUACAGGCUGAGCAGAAUUGAUGAGAUGGCACAAGGAAAUGUAGAAUAAAUGCCCUAGGAAUGGCAGUGUCACCUACUGCAGCAGAAAAAGCAGGCUUGAGUGCUGGCUAUGCCGAUGCUGGCUGUGUGUAUUUCAUUGCCUUCUGCCGGCUCAGUUCUCUCAUCCAUAAAGUGGGGUGAAAUAAUUGCUGCAAUGCUGGACCCCUAACGUCAACCAUUAAGUGGAUAUGAAACUGUCAUGUAAACUGUUAAAGCACAAAAAUCGCGGUUGAGGUUUGGAGGUGCUCUUCUGUACCUGAAAUGUUGACCCAAUUAAAAACUAUGAGCUGGAUAUAUCAGAACACCAGCUUCAUUAAUGGUGGCUGGACCCAGCCCAUUUGCUUGUUUCCAAGGGUUCUGUCUCUUCUUGCCUUUGCUUAUGCAGAGCAGCUGGGAAACAGCAGGAGGGGUAACAAAAGGAAGGGAAGAAGAAAAACAUGCUUCCCCAGCAGGUGGAGACCAUACACAAGGAGGCACAGCUUCAGCGUUCUCAGUAGCCAGAUGAGCUACUCUCCUCCACCCACAGGGAGGAGCAUCUGAGCAAUGGCAAUAAAGAUGCAAGCUUCCUCCCCAGAAUGUUCUCUAAGGGGCUUAAAGCAAGGGUAGAAAUUCCAAUUUUUCUACCAACAGUCAGUGGAUUGACUGCUCCAAUAGACUUCCACAACUCGUUUUCCCUACUUUUGCCAUCUCCCACUUUAGAGGCUGGAGAACAUAACUCCCUGAUUUCCCAGAAGCCUUUGCAGCUAGAGAUGACCAUGUGACACAAGUGAGACCUAAGUGGAAAGGUAGUGAGUGAGUAGAUCUUCUGGGGGAGACAGUGUGUCAUUUCUUGGAUGAGGCCUCAAGAGACACCAGCUGUUUUGCUCACUCUCUUCCACAUCUACAACUCACCAUAAGACCAUGACCUGGAUAGCCACUGAUCCAGAGAGGACAUGAGACAUGUGGAACAGACUAGAACCAAGACUGUCUUCAUUUUUUUUUUCUUUAAGCCUGUCUUCUUAAACUAUCAAAAUUACAGCUACUCCUAUGUCCCAGACACUCUUUCAGCGGGCUGGAAGGGCACAUAAACCAUUUACAAACCAUAUCGCUUUAUGCCUGUAUUAGUCAGGUAGGGCUAUCAUAACAAGAUACCAGAGACUGGGUGGCUUGCUUAAAUAACAGAAAUCUAUUUUCUCACAGUUCUGGAGUCUGGGAAGUCUAAGACCGAGGUGCCAUCACAUUCAGUUUCUGUGAGGGCUUUCUUCCUGGCUUGUAGACAGCUGCCUUUUCACUGUGGCCUCACAUCAUGGGGAGAGAGAGAACGCUGGUGUCUCUUUUUCUUCUUGUAAGGGCACCAGUGCUAGAGAUCCUCAUGAUCUCAUCAAACUUUUAUCCUCUUUAUAGGCUCUGCCUCCGAAUAUGGUCACAAUGGGCAUUAGGAUCUCAACAUCUGAAUUUGGAGGGGACACAAUUCAAUCAAUAGCAAUGCCCAAGAUAUCAGACUUCAACACCCAAGGAACCCCACCCCUCCCCUCAGGAAACAUCAGCAUCUGGUGUCUGAUUCUAAUUCAAGCCACAAUCAUUUUGCUGUUCAUGGUCAUCAAUGAUGUGCCAGAAGUUGUAACAUUCAUUCAUUCAAAGUUCAAAGGUUUAGGGAAGAUCAAGAUCUCUGGGGCUAGGGUGAAGGAAGAAGGGAAAUGUAGUAGAAGAAGAGGGUGGAGAGGAGAGAGGAGACAGACCACGUAGGCCUAGCUGAGCAGCCGAAGAACUUCAUUCUGGGGAUUGAAAAUAUUAGGCCAUAGUCCUUGGACAUUUGCAUUUAAAAAGGAGGAGAGGGAAAGCUAUGUUUAUUGUAUACCUAUUGUCCUUACCGGUUCAGGCUGAAAUAACCAAAAUCCCACCCAUCUGCUGCGUGGCUUAAGCAAAACACUUAUUUUUCACAGUUAGGAGGCUGGGAAGCCCAUGAUGGAGGCUCAGGCAGAUUAGGUGUUUGGUGGGGCCCCACCUUCCGGUUCAUACACAGCCAUCUUCUUGCUGUGUCCUUACAUGAUGGGAAAGGGCAAGAAAGCUCUCCAGGGUCUCUUUUAUAUGGACACUAAUCCCACUUAUGAGGGUACCAUUCUCAUGACCUAAUCACAAAGGCCUGCCUCCAAAUACCAUCACAUCGGGGGUUAGGAUUUCAACAUAUGGGCUCUUGGGGGGGGGGGGGCACAAACAUUCCAUCUAUCGCGCUUAUUAUAUGUCAGGAUCUAUAUAUUAGAUACUUUCCAUAUCUUGAUCUUUACAUUUAAAUAUACAUAAUGUUUACUGAGUGACAAACACAAUCACAAUUCUAGAAAUCAAGGCCCAUUUUAUAUUCCAAAUCAACAGUAAGGUGUGAGGGGAAGAGGUGUGUAUUCAAACCUCUCUGACCUUUCCUUGGCUCAAAUUGGAAUAAAUGCAUGAUUUCACAUGGGGAAUGUGGAGGUCAUAUCAACAGCCCAUUAAAUUCAAUCAGAUACACAAUAACCUGUUUUCUAUUCCAGCUAGUAGGUUAAAUAUCCAACUUUUUAAUUUCCAAAUGGUCUCAUGCAAUCAUCGCAAUUACCAUCCUAUUCAACCAUAAAGGUAAUUUAAGCUGUGGGUUUCAUCUCCAUCAAACAACUUGUUUGUAAUAUGCAAUUCUGGCUUGGAUUCCAAGAAUAAAUAUUAUCCUCCAAACAAAUGCAGGUUGACGGUAAUUCACUAAUUCACAAAUAAUAGUUUGCAAAAGAAAUAAACUUUGUGCAGAUGAUACGAUUGAAUAACAAGGAAAAUUAAGAGAACUGGCUGAAGAAAUACAGGAAUGAAUACAAUAAUUCAGUAAGAUGGCUGGAGACAAGAUAAAUAUACAGAAAUCAAUAGCUCUCCCACAAAUCAAUAAUGUAAAAAGAUCCCCACAUUAUAUGGUGUGUGUGUGUGUGUGUGUGUGUGUGUGUGUGUGUGUGUAUAUAUAUAUAUGUAAUUUAUUUAUAAAUGCCAAAAACUAGGAUACGUGUUUUAUAGAUAUCACUUACCCAAAAUAAUUUUCUCAGACGUUGUAACAGAUUUUUUCUCUGUGAUGUACAGAUGUGGAAACUAAACCAUAGAGGAGUAAUUUUCCCAUGAUGAGAAAGCAGCAUGAGAUCUUCAAAAGGUAAAAUCUGAUUGUGCAACUGCUCUGUUGAAAACCCUCCACUGACUUUUGUUCUUAAAAUGGAAGCAUAUCCUUGCAAAGCUUUGCCUGAAGGUCACUGCUACCUCUCUAGGCUUAUUUCAAGCUACUUUUCCUUCAAACUCUAUGAAUUGGAGAUUAACCCAGACUAUCCUGACCCAUCAAAGCCAGGCAAACCCAUAUUGUUGAAGUAGAACAGU